UACGGGGGGGGCAAGCGUUGUUCGGAAUCACUGGGCGUAAAGGGUGCGUAGGCCGCACGGUAAGUCAGAUGUGAAAGCCCGGAGCUCAACUCCGGAACUGCAUCCGAUACUGCCGUGCUUGAGGACUGGAGAGGAGUCUGGAAUUCACAGUGGAGCAGUGAAAUGCGUAGAUAUUGUGAGGAACACUAGUGGCGAAGGCGAGACUCUGGACAGUUCCUGACGCUGAGGCACGAAGGCCAGGGGAGCAAACGGG
This 253-nucleotide ribosomal RNA is filed under the name uncultured bacterium. RNAcentral's name for it is "partial 16S ribosomal RNA". It matches the Rfam family "Bacterial small subunit ribosomal RNA", at positions 524 to 776 of the family's 1533-position model. The record is from RNAcentral.